GACGAACGCUGGCGGCGUGCCUAAUACAUGCAAGUAGAACGCUGAAGGAGGAGCUUGCUUCUCUGGAUGAGUUGCGAACGGGUGAGUAACGCGUAGGUAACCUGCCUGGUAGCGGGGGAUAACUAUUGGAAACGAUAGCUAAUACCGCAUAAGAGUAGAUGUCGCAUGACAUUUGCUUAAAAGGUGCAAUUGCAUCACUACCAGAUGGACCUGCGUUGUAUUAGCUAGUUGGUGAGGUAACGGCUCACCAAGGCAACGAUACAUAGCCGACCUGAGAGGGUGAUCGGCCACACUGGGACUGAGACACGGCCCAGACUCCUACGGGAGGCAGCAGUAGGGAAUCUUCGGCAAUGGACGGAAGGCUGACCGAGCAACGCCGCGUGAGUGAAGAAGGUUUUCGGAUCGUAAAGCUCUGUUGUAAGAGAAGAACGAGUGUGAGAGUGGAAAGUUCACACUGUGACGGUAUCUUACCAGAAAGGGACGGCUAACUACGUG
RNAcentral lists this ribosomal RNA (495 nucleotides) under uncultured bacterium. RNAcentral's name for it is "partial 16S ribosomal RNA". It matches the Rfam family "Bacterial small subunit ribosomal RNA", at positions 28 to 507 of the family's 1533-position model. The record is from RNAcentral.